UUCAUCACCAGGCCGGGAAGCAAUAGCCUGGGCUCCAGAGUCAGCCACUCAUCUGUGCACAGACGAGGAGAGGUCUGUGAAGCUUUGGCACAGUCUGGGACCCUAGCUCUUUUGUAACGAGUUGUUUGGCAUGAGGUCCAGUCACGAGGACCCUUCGCAACUGGGCUCAAGGAACACAAAAAGAAAGAAGAUAUUGAAAUGCAUGGAUAUUAUUUGCAAGGAUGGUCACUGAAGAAUUGUUUGCAAUUGUGGAAACAACCUAAGUGUCAACAGAAUGGUUGCCUAACUGUGAUACAGUGGUACUAUGGCAUACUAAGCUGCCAAUGAAAAAGAAAGGCAAAUCUCUUUGCGGUAAUAUGGAAAACAACCAUGGAGAUAUUAUCAACUGGAAUUUUUUUUCAGAAUUGCAGGUGGGUUGGGAAGCUCCAUUCUGUAUCACCCUCGCUCAAGGACCUGGACUGAAGGAUUUCUGCUUUCAAGAAGAAAAAAAAAAAUAGAAGACAUGUUUACUAAUACACUGGUAAUUAUUUCUAUUCAUAUUUUAUUGGCCAGAGCGAGUCAUAUGGGUAUACAACAUAAAAUGAGGUGCAGAAUUUCAAUCCUAUCAUUUGCUUGGAAGGUGGAGAGUCAUAUUUGGAGAACAUGAGUUCGUUCUAUAAUUGUUGGAUGUAGCAGUCUAUACAUGUCCACUAAGUCAAGUUUGCUAAUCGUGUUUAAAUAAUCUAUAUCCUUACUCAUGUAUCUGUUCACUUCUUGCAGUUUUG
Gorilla gorilla gorilla (western lowland gorilla) is the source of this 764-nucleotide long non-coding RNA. RefSeq lists it as uncharacterized. NCBI's taxonomy places the organism in Eukaryota, Metazoa, Chordata, Mammalia, Primates, Hominidae. The transcript has 3 exons. The record is from RefSeq and is a predicted model, not a curated record.